ACAGGAAAAAACACAGCAGGAAAUGAAGCAGUGACGGAAGCAGGAAAAAGCACAGUAGAAAAUGAAUCACUGGGACCAACAGCUGUUGUUGUGAGUGUCAGUUCCACACUGAAAACGGAAACACCAUCAGAACAACAAGGAAAAAACACAGCAGGAAAUGAAGCAGUGACGGAAGCAGGAAAAAGCACAGUAGAAAAUGAAUCACUGGGACCAACAGCUGUUGUUGUGAGUGUCAGUUCCACACUGAAAACGGAAACACCAUCAGAACAACAAGGUAA
Clarias gariepinus (North African catfish) is the source of this 278-nucleotide long non-coding RNA. RefSeq lists it as uncharacterized. The transcript is spliced from 6 exons. The record is from RefSeq and is a predicted model, not a curated record. Lineage: Eukaryota; Metazoa; Chordata; Actinopteri; Siluriformes; Clariidae.